CCUACGGGAGACAGCAGUGAGGAAUAUUGGUCAAUGGGCGCAAGCCUGAACCAGCCAAGUCGCGUGAGGGAUGACGGUCCUAUGGAUUGUAAACCUCUUUUGUCGGGGAGCAAGGCCCGCCACGUGUGGCGGGACGUAGAGUACCCGAAGAAAAAGCAUCGGCUAACUCCGUGCCAGCAGCCGCGGUAAUACGGAGGAUCCGAGCGUUAUCCGGAUUUAUUGGGUUUAAAGGGAGCGUAGAUGGGUUGUUAAGUCAGUUGUGAAAGUUUGCGGCUCAACCGUAAAAUUGCAAUUGAUACUGGCAGUCUUGAGUACAGGUGAGGUAGGCGGAAUUCGUGGUGUAGCGGUGAAAUGCUUAGAUAUCACGAAGAACCCCGAUUGCGAAGGCAGCUUACUAAACUGUGACUGACAUUGAUGCUCGAAAGUGUGGGUAUCAAACAGGAUUAGAUACCCGAGUAGUC
RNAcentral lists this ribosomal RNA (461 nucleotides) under uncultured bacterium. Its description in RNAcentral is "partial 16S ribosomal RNA". It matches the Rfam family "Bacterial small subunit ribosomal RNA", at positions 338 to 795 of the family's 1533-position model. The record is from RNAcentral.